This 253-nucleotide ribosomal RNA is filed under the name uncultured bacterium. Its description in RNAcentral is "partial 16S ribosomal RNA". It matches the Rfam family "Bacterial small subunit ribosomal RNA", at positions 524 to 776 of the family's 1533-position model. The record is from RNAcentral.
UACGUAAGGGGCGAGCGUUAUCCGGAAUUACUGGGCGUAAAGCGCACGCAGGCGGUUCGCCAAGUUUGGAGUGACAGUUGUCGGCUCAACCGACAAAGGACUUCAAAAACUGGUGAACUUGAGGACGAGAGAGGAACAUGGAACUCCAGGUGUAGUAGUGAAAUGCGUAGAUAUCUGGAAGAACACCAAUGGCGAAGGCAAUGUUCUGGCUCGUUUCUGACGCUCAGGUGCGAAAGCCAGGGGAGCGAACGGG